Molecule: long non-coding RNA, 800 nt
Filed under: Monodelphis domestica (gray short-tailed opossum)
Lineage: Eukaryota; Metazoa; Chordata; Mammalia; Didelphimorphia; Didelphidae
Description: lncRNA (ENSMODG00000035650.2)
Source: RNAcentral
GUCACAAAAGACUUCCUAGUCACCUCCCCUCUUUUUAUAUUACUCCCUCCCAUGUUUUUCUUUAGAUUUUAAAACUAGAUAAAAUCAGGCCUUCCGUUAGAUUACCUGAAUUCUUUCAGGUGACGAGAAUCUCUGAGGCUUAAUUCAUUUAAAUAAACUUCAUUUUCCUACUGCCUUUGGCCAGGUGCCUUCGGAGGCCUGUUUGACAGAAUAGUUUCCGCUCCUGGGGGAGAGUGACCUGUUGUCAUCAAAGUGACCUACCACGAGAUAGAAGAAAUGUCUGAGAGGCUAGUUCUGCCUUUGGACACUUGGUGGCGCUCUAGCUUUAUGAAUGGCUCAAGCCGCUUCUGUUUGCUCCUGGGAAGUCUCCUUCCCUUUCCGCAGCUCGGUGGUGUGGUUUCAGAAUCAGAGGCAUUGUGUUCUGCGGAAGGUCAUAUGGAAAGUUCGAUGGCUGAUUGGAUUAGAAUAUGUACAAUAAUCCAUGAUGAUCAGGAAGCCUGUGAAAAGUCCUAUUCCUGUUUAUCAUGAUGUGAAGGCUCAUCAAGAUGAAAGAAAAAGAAUAUGGAAGAAAGACUUCAAAAGUCACAGUGAAGAAAAUUUGUUUUUACAAAGAUGUCAACAUACAACUUCCUCAUUAUCUGCUUCUCAAGACUGAAAGACCUACUCCUCUACCAGCCAGAGUUGUCUUCUCCUCAAGAUUCCAAUCUCCUGGGGCCCAUUCCUCUGUCGAAGUGAUCAGUUUCACACACUCUUCAGCCCAGCACUUUUUCUUUAGUGCCAGCUUCUGUCACACAGGAUAA